GACGAACGCUGGCGGCGUGCUUAACACAUGCAAGUCGAACGGAAAGGCCCUGCUUUUGUGGGGUGCUCGAGUGGCGAACGGGUGAGUAACACGUGAGUAACCUGCCCUUGACUUUGGGAUAACUUCAGGAAACUGGGGCUAAUACCGGAUAGGAGCUCCUGCUGCAUGGUGGGGGUUGGAAAGUUUCGGCGGUUGGGGAUGGACUCGCGGCUUAUCAGCUUGUUGGUGGGGUAGUGGCUUACCAAGGCUUUGACGGGUAGCCGGCCUGAGAGGGUGACCGGCCAAAUUGGGAGUGGGAUACGGCCCAGACUCCUACGGGGGGCAGAAGUGGGGAAUAUUGCACAAGGGGCGGAAGCCUGAUGCAGAAACGCCGCGGGCGGGAUGACGGCCUUCGGGUUGUAAACCGCUUUCGCCUGUGACGAAGCGGGGGUGACGGUAAUGGGUAAAGAAGCACCGGCUAACUACGU
RNAcentral lists this ribosomal RNA (467 nucleotides) under uncultured bacterium. RNAcentral describes it as "partial 16S ribosomal RNA". It matches the Rfam family "Bacterial small subunit ribosomal RNA", at positions 28 to 506 of the family's 1533-position model. The record is from RNAcentral.